RNAcentral lists this transfer RNA (73 nucleotides) under Rhipicephalus microplus (southern cattle tick). RNAcentral's name for it is "tRNA-Glu". It matches the Rfam family "tRNA". From Rfam's summary of the family: Transfer RNA (tRNA) molecules are approximately 80 nucleotides in length. Their secondary structure includes four short double-helical elements and three loops (D, anti-codon, and T loops). The record is from RNAcentral. Lineage: Eukaryota; Metazoa; Arthropoda; Arachnida; Ixodida; Ixodidae.
UCCGGCGUGGUCUAGUGGCUAGAAUAUCUGGCUUUCACCCAGAAGGCCCGGGUUCGAUUCCCGGCGUCGGUAA